This 64-nucleotide transfer RNA is filed under the name Salmo salar (Atlantic salmon). It matches the Rfam family "tRNA", at positions 6 to 65 of the family's 71-position model. Rfam says of the family: Transfer RNA (tRNA) molecules are approximately 80 nucleotides in length. Their secondary structure includes four short double-helical elements and three loops (D, anti-codon, and T loops). The record is from Rfam by way of RNAcentral. Lineage: Eukaryota; Metazoa; Chordata; Actinopteri; Salmoniformes; Salmonidae.
UGUAGCUCAGUCAGUAGAGCAUGGCGCUUGUAAUGCUAGGUAAGUGGGUUCGAUUCCCGGACCA